GUAGUCCUGGCUGUAAACGAUGUCGACUUGGAGGUUGUGCCCUUGAGGCGUGGCUUCCGGAGCUAACGCGUUAAGUCGACCGCCUGGGGAGUACGGCCGCAAGGUUAAAACUCAAAUGAAUUGACGGGGGCCCGCACAAGCGGUGGAGCAUGUGGUUUAAUUCGAUGCAACGCGAAGAACCUUACCUGGUCUUGACAUCCACGGAAGUUUUCAGAGAUGAGAACGUGCCUUCGGGAACCGUGAGACAGGUGCUGCAUGGCUGUCGUCAGCUCGUGUUGUGAAAUGUUGGGUUAAGUCCCGCAACGAGCGCAACCCUUAUCCUUUGUUGCCAGCGGUCCGGCCGGGAACUCAAAGGAGACUGCCAGUGAUAAACUGGAGGAAGGUGGGGAUGACGUCAAGUCAUCAUGGCCCUUACGACCAGGGCUACACACGUGCUACAAUGGCGCAUACAAAGAGGAGCGACCUCGCGAGAGCAAGCGGACCUCGUAAAGUGCGUCGUAGUCCGGAUUGGAGUCUGCAACUCGACUCCAUGAAGUCGGAAUCGCUAGUAAUCGUGGAUCAGAAUGCCACGGUGAAUACGUUCCCGGGCCUUGUACACACCGCCCGUCACACCAUGGGAGUGGGUUGCAAAAGAAGUAGGUAGCUUAACCCUCGGGAGGGCGCUUACCACUUUGUGAUUCAUGACUGGGGUGAAGUCGUAACAAGGUAACCGUAGGGGAACCUGCGGCUGGAUCACCUCC
RNAcentral lists this ribosomal RNA (740 nucleotides) under uncultured bacterium. RNAcentral describes it as "bacterial SSU rRNA". It matches the Rfam family "Bacterial small subunit ribosomal RNA", at positions 790 to 1530 of the family's 1533-position model. The record is from RNAcentral.